This 505-nucleotide ribosomal RNA is filed under the name uncultured soil bacterium. RNAcentral's name for it is "bacterial SSU rRNA". It matches the Rfam family "Bacterial small subunit ribosomal RNA", at positions 26 to 517 of the family's 1533-position model. The record is from RNAcentral.
AGAUUGAACGCUGGCGGCAGGCCUAACACAUGCAAGUCGAGCGGCAGCACGGGUACUUGUACCUGGUGGCGAGCGGCGGACGGGUGAGUAAUGCCUAGGAAUCUGCCUGGUAGUGGGGGAUAACGCUCGGAAACGGACGCUAAUACCGCAUACGUCCUACGGGAGAAAGCAGGGGACCUUCGGGCCUUGCGCUAUCAGAUGAGCCUAGGUCGGAUUAGCUAGUUGGUGGGGUAAUGGCUCACCAAGGCGACGAUCCGUAACUGGUCUGAGAGGAUGAUCAGUCACACUGGAACUGAGACACGGUCCAGACUCCUACGGAGGCAGCAGUGGGAAUAUUGGACAAUGGGACGAAAGCCUGAUCCAGCCAUGCCGCGUGUGUGAAGAAGGUCUUCGGAUUGUAAAGCACUUUUAAAGUUGGAGGAAGGCAAUUUAACCAAUAACGUUAGUGUUUUAGACGUUACGAACAGAAUAAGCAACCGGCUAAACUCUGUAGCCAGCAAGGCCG